RNAcentral lists this ribosomal RNA (498 nucleotides) under Halorubrum sp. AJS. RNAcentral's name for it is "bacterial SSU rRNA". It matches the Rfam family "Archaeal small subunit ribosomal RNA", at positions 327 to 824 of the family's 1478-position model. Lineage: Archaea; Methanobacteriati; Methanobacteriota; Halobacteria; Halobacteriales; Haloferacaceae. The record is from RNAcentral.
GGGGUGCAGCAGGCGCGAAACCUUUACACUGCACGACAGUGCGAUAGGGGGAUCCCAAGUGCACAGGCAUAGCGCCUGUGCUUUUCGGUACCCUAAGGCGGUACCAGAAUAAGGGCUGGGCAAGACCGGUGCCAGCCGCCGCGGUAAUACCGGCAGCCCAAGUGAUGGCCGAUCUUAUUGGGCCUAAAGCGUCCGUAGCUGGCCACGCAAGUCCAUCGGGAAAUCCACCUGCCCAACAGGUGGACGCCCGGUAGAAACUGCGUGGCUUGGGACCGGAAGGCGCGACGGGUACGUCCGGGGUAGGAGUGAAAUCCCGUAAUCCUGGACGGACCGCCGAUGGCGAAAGCACGUCGCGAGAACGGAUCCGACAGUGAGGGACGAAAGCCAGGGUCUCGAACCGGAUUAGAUACCCGGGUAGUCCUGGCCGUAAACAAUGUCUGCUAGGUGUGGCUCCCACUACGAGUGGGUGCUGUGCCGCAGGGAAGCCGCUAAGCAGAC